RNAcentral lists this long non-coding RNA (2119 nucleotides) under Macaca fascicularis (crab-eating macaque). Its description in RNAcentral is "lncRNA (ENSMFAG00000050972.1)". Lineage: Eukaryota; Metazoa; Chordata; Mammalia; Primates; Cercopithecidae. The record is from RNAcentral.
UUGUUAACAAUGUUUUAGAGCUUUGUGGAUUUUAAAAUUGUAUAAAACUAUACGUAUACAGAAUUUUUUACACUGUUACAUUUGUUCAUUUAAAAUAAAUAUUUUAAUAAAACACUGAGGUCCUAGAGAAUGUUUUCAGCUCCUUUAUUAUACAUGGUACUUACAUCACCAAACUUUGAGAUGCAGAAGAGCGAAAAACACCAUGCUUGGAAACAGACUGGUCUGCUGUGAAAGAGAAACAGAAACAACUUUGCUUUCUGUCAUGUUGGCUUAAUAGAAAUGCCAGUUUAGCAAAAUGAACGUAUUGCCAAGAAUGUGAACAUAGCUGGUGGUACUCUUCAACGAGGUUCUUUCACCUGUUUCUCCCUUGUAAUUCCCGUCACCUUCUCAUGCUUUAUUUGCUCCUGUAUUUAUCACUCCUCUUAGAUCUAUUUUGGUUCUCCACUAUUUUUUUUCUUUCUCCCUUGACUUUUGUGUACAGUUUUAAUCCUUUGCCUCAGCUGCAGUUACAGGUCAGAGGACUUUUACAAAGAGAAGAGACACGAUCAAAUAAAACACCAGUCAUGUAAAUACCUGGAAUAUAGUAAUGGCUCAAAAUGUAUUGACUUUUCUUAGAGAUAACCUAUUCUUACUUUAAAAAUUAGGCAGCCAAAGUUUAGAAAGUUUUAGGCCUAUUUAAUGUCACAAAUUCAGUUAAAGGCAGAAGUAGUUCCAGAUCACACUAAUUUUUCACAUUAAAAAAUACUCUGGGGUAACUGAUAAGACUAUGAAGAUUAAGAUUUUUCUAUCAUUUCUGUGCUACCCCAACAAUCUAUUUUUUGACUGUCCUUGAUGUGAAGUACAACUUUUCUAUUUUAAGAUAUUCUCAUUUGCUGUUCUGCCUUUGGAUAUUCCUUGUAGGUUUGAAGCAUCCUCCAGAAGACAAUUAUGGAUUUAUCCAUUGACAUUCCAACCUUAUUAUUGAGCCUAUUUCAUUUUGAAAUUUUCCCACACUGUAUGCAUGCUUCAGCAUGUUCAUAAUGUAGUGGAUUCUCUAUUUAAUUUACAUCUCUCAGUUCAAUGCACAAGGUUUUGAAAGUGGUUUGACUAUUUCUUCAAUUCACUGUAGAAAAACUAAGCAUUGCAGCCUACAAUACAGAUACAUUGUUACCAGAUAGAAGUAUGAGAAGAAAAAGACAGUAUUUUCAAAUUUCUUGUUCACUGCAAAAAUACCACCAGGUGCCCUAGUAGAAUUAGCAAAUUACUGAAAGGGUAUCCUAACCAAUGAGCUGGAGUUGAGACACUUUAACCAUUGUGAUAAUUAGGUUUCCUCAAUAGGAUUACUCAAAUUUCUAUGAAAAAAGUAAAAGAGAAUGUAACUUAUGUGUGUGUGUGAAAGAAAGAGAGAGAGAGAGAGAGAGAGAGAGAGAGAUCCAGCUUUCAAAGCAAGACAGCUUAGUAUAAUAUAAGAGCUCAGACUUCCUCAUGUAGUUAAGUGGGAGUCACUGACAUAUUUUAAUCACAAUAAUGACAUGAUGGAAUUUUGUUGUAAGAAGAGCACUUUGGCAGCAAUAGAGAGUGUAGACUGUGAGGUAUGAGGCAGUAGGUAAGAAGAUGAGUUUGAAAGAAAAUUCAAUAGCUCAGUGAGCUUAACUAAGGCAAUGCCAAUGGUAUUAAGAGAAAAAUAAUAAGAAAGACAGGUCUUGGUUAUUAUCUAGAGGUAAGAGUGAGGAAAGGCAAAGAGAAAAAUGGAACAUUACUUCCAAGUUUCUAACUUGGUGGUGGCUGGUGGUGUUUCUAAAUCAACUGAGGAGAAGAGGAGUAUGAGUCAAGAAAGUUAGAGUCAAGGACAUUCACUCUGAUAGCCACAAUUUUCUCAAGCAAUGAGGAGGCAAGGGCAUCUUCUUUUUUUUUUUUUUUUUUUUUUUUGAGACGGAGUCUCGCUCUGUCGCCCAGGCUGGAGUGCAGUGGCCGGAUCUCAGCUCACUGCAAGCUCCGCCUUGGUUCCCGCCGUUCUCCUGCCUCAGCCUCCCGAGCGGGUGGGACUACAGGCGCGCCACAUCGCCCGGCUAAUUUUUUGUAUUUUUAGUAGAGACGGGGUUUCACUAUGGUCUCAAUCUCCUGACCUCGUGAUCCGCCC